RNAcentral lists this ribosomal RNA (474 nucleotides) under uncultured Actinomycetales bacterium. RNAcentral's name for it is "bacterial SSU rRNA". It matches the Rfam family "Bacterial small subunit ribosomal RNA", at positions 410 to 895 of the family's 1533-position model. Lineage: Bacteria; Bacillati; Actinomycetota; Actinomycetes; Actinomycetales. The record is from RNAcentral.
GAAGGCCUUCGGGUUGUAAACCCCUUUCAGCAGGGACGAAGCUGAAGUGACGGUACCUGCAAAAGACGCGCCAGCUAACUACGUGCCACCAGCCGCGGUAACACGUAGGGCGCAAGCGUUGUCCGGAAUUAUUGGGCGUAAAGAGCUCGUAGGUGGUCUGUUGCGUCCGCUGUGAAAACUCAGGGCUUAACCCUGACCCUGCAGUGGAUACGGGCAGACUAGAGGUAGGUAGGGGAGAAUGGAAUUCCUGGUGUAGCGGUGAAAUGCGCAGAUAUCNGGAGGAACACCGGUGGCGAAGGCGGUUCUCUGGGCCUUACCUGACACUGAGGAACGAAAGCGUGGGGAGCGAACUAGAUUACAUACCCUGGUAGUCCACGCCGUAAACGUUGGGCGCUAGGUGUGGGAUCCUUCCACGGAUUCCGUGCCGCAACUAACGCAUUAACCGCCCCGCCUGGGGAGUACCGCCGCAAAGCU